RNAcentral lists this ribosomal RNA (563 nucleotides) under Colletotrichum destructivum. RNAcentral describes it as "eukaryotic LSU rRNA". It matches the Rfam family "Eukaryotic large subunit ribosomal RNA", at positions 75 to 664 of the family's 3401-position model. Lineage: Eukaryota; Fungi; Ascomycota; Sordariomycetes; Glomerellales; Glomerellaceae. The record is from RNAcentral.
UUGCCCCAGUAACGGCGAGUGAAGCGGCAACAGCUCAAAUUUGAAAUCUGGCCCCAGGCCCGAGUUGUAAUUUGCAGAGGAUGCUUUUGGCGCGGUGCCUUCCGAGUUCCCUGGAACGGGACGCCAUAGAGGGUGAGAGCCCCGUACGGUUGGACACCAAGCCUUUGUAAAGCUCCUUCGACGAGUCGAGUAGUUUGGGAAUGCUGCUCAAAAUGGGAGGUAUAUUUCUUCUAAAGCUAAAUAUAGGCCAGAGACCGAUAGCGCACAAGUAGAGUGAUCGAAAGAUGAAAAGCACUUUGAAAAGAGGGUUAAACAGCACGUGAAAUUGUUAAAAGGGAAGCGCUUGUGACCAGACUUGCGUCCGGUGAAUCACCCAGCUCUCGCGGCUGGGGCACUUCGCCGGCACAGGCCAGCAUCAGCUUGCCGUCGGGGACAAAAGCUUCAGGAACGUAGCUCUCUUCGGGGAGUGUUAUAGCCUGUUGCAUAAUACCCUUCGGCGGGCCGAGGUACGCGCUCCGCAAGGAUGCUGGCGUAAUGGUCAUCAGCGACCCGUCUGAACACGA